GAUGAACGCUGGCGGCGUGCCUAAUACAUGCAAGUCGAGCGAACAGACGAGGAGCUUGCUCCUCUGACGUUAGCGGCGGACGGGUGAGUAACACGUGGAUAACCUACCUAUAAGACUGGGAUAACUUCGGGAAACCGGAGCUAAUACCGGAUAAUAUAUUGAACCGCAUGGUUCAAUAGUGAAAGACGGUUUUGCUGUCACUUAUAGAUGGAUCCGCGCCGCAUUAGCUAGUUGGUAAGGUAACGGCUUACCAAGGCAACGAUGCGUAGCCGACCUGAGAGGGUGAUCGGCCACACUGGAACUGAGACACGGUCCAGACUCCUACGGGACGCAGCAGUAGGGAAUCUUGCGCAAUGGGCGAAAGCCUGACGGAGCAACGCCGCGUGAGUGAUGAAGGUCUUCGGAUCGUAAAACUCUGUUAUUAGGGAAGAACAAAUGUGUAAGUACCUAUGCACGUCUUGACGGUACCUAAGCAGAAAGCCACGGCUAACUACGUG
This 497-nucleotide ribosomal RNA is filed under the name uncultured bacterium. RNAcentral describes it as "partial 16S ribosomal RNA". It matches the Rfam family "Bacterial small subunit ribosomal RNA", at positions 28 to 507 of the family's 1533-position model. The record is from RNAcentral.